GGAUUGUGGCUCAGUGGUAGAGCACUCAUCUAGCAUGUGCGAGGCCCUGGGUUCGAUCCUCAGUACCA
This 68-nucleotide transfer RNA is filed under the name Marmota monax (woodchuck). RNAcentral describes it as "tRNA.Ala". The record is from RNAcentral. Lineage: Eukaryota; Metazoa; Chordata; Mammalia; Rodentia; Sciuridae.